UUGGUGUAACGAUAGACAUUAAUCACAAUAAUGAAGACUUUACUGAGCCUCUGUAUUGCAGUGAUCUGGUUAUCAGGUGUCCAGUCUGCAGAACUUACCCAAUCAGAGCCAGCGGUGAUAAAGCCAGGGAAUUCUCACACACUGACCUGUACAGCUUCUGGAUUUGCUUUUAGUGGCUACUGGAUGUGCUGGGUCAGAGAGAUCAGAGGAAGAUUUCAAUUUCUAGCUGAUGUUAGCCCAGAUGGGAAUACCAAACGCUAUCCUGAUGAUGUUAAAGGAAGAUUUGCAAUCUCCAGAGAUAACACUAAUAAAAUGUUAUAUCUGAAAAUGGAAAACAUGAAAACUGAAGACACUGCAUUGUAUUACUGUGCAAAAGACUCACAGUGA
Rana temporaria (common frog) is the source of this 387-nucleotide non-coding RNA. Lineage: Eukaryota; Metazoa; Chordata; Amphibia; Anura; Ranidae. The record is from the annotation of a RefSeq genome assembly.